This 855-nucleotide ribosomal RNA is filed under the name Triticum aestivum (bread wheat). RNAcentral's name for it is "partial small subunit ribosomal RNA". The record is from RNAcentral. Lineage: Eukaryota; Viridiplantae; Streptophyta; Magnoliopsida; Poales; Poaceae.
AUGUUUGUUGACCAGCUUGCUAGAAAACAUCUUGCAAAUUCAGGAUUUUAUUUUGACUAUGUUCUUGAUGAUAAGGGCAGACUGGUACAUGUGUUCUGGGCGGAUGCCACAUGUAGGAAAAAUUAUGCUCUAUUUGGAGAGCUUGUGUCCUUUGACUCCACGUAUUGCACCAAUCAAUAUAACAUGAUUUUCACCCCCUUUACUGGAAUCAAUCACCAUAAGGCAAGUGUUUGUUUUGGUGCUGCAAUGUUACACGAUGAGAAGGCAGAUUCUUACAAGUGGUUGUUUCGCACAUUCUUGAAAGCUAUGGGAGGGGCUGCACCUAAGUUUAUAAUAACUGACGAAUGUAGUAGCAUGGACAAUGCAAUAAGGGAAGUUUUCCCAGCAGCCGCACAUAGGCUAUGCAUGUGGCAUAUUAUGAAUAAGAUCCCUCAAAAGGUUGGCCCUGAUUUGAAGACGGAUGAGGAUUUCCAUGAACGAUUAGGUCGGUGCGUGUGGUCUUCUGAAACUCCUACUGAAUUUGAGGAACAAUGGAAAGAAAUUAUGUCAGAGUAUGGGUUGGAAGAUGAUGAAUGGUUCAGUAAAAGGUUCAGCCUUCGAGAAUCAUGGAUACCAGCUUAUUUCAAAGAAAUAGCUUUGUCAGGGCUUAUGCGGACUACUUCAAGGUCAGAGAGUGUCAAUUCUUUUUUCUCACGUAUUAUUGGUUACAAACAUGCUUUGGUUGAGUUUUGGCUUAGAUUUGACACAGCUUUGGAAGAACAACGUCACAAGGAGUUGCAAGAGGACCAUGUGAGGAUUCUAUUCCUAUGGCGGAUUCUAUUCAUAUGGCGGAUUCUAUUCCUAUGUGUGGAUUAA